ACGGGAGGCAGCAGUGGGGAAUAUUGGGCAAUGGGGGAAACCCUGACCCAGCAACGCCGCGUGAAGGAAGAAGGCUUUCGGGUUGUAAACUUCUUUUACCAGGGACGAAGGACGUGACGGUACCUGGAGAAAAAGCCACGGCUAACUACGUGCCAGCAGCCGCGGUAAUACGUAGGGAGCGAGCGUUGUCCGGAUUUACUGGGUGUAAAGGGUGCGUAGGCGGGCUUGCAAGUCAGGCGUGAAAUACCGGGGCUUAACUCCGGGGCUGCGCUUGAAACUGUAAGUCUUGAGUGAAGUAGAGGCAGGCGGAAUUCCCAGUGUAGCGGUGAAAUGCGUAGAUAUUGGGAGGAACACCAGUGGCGAAGGCGGCCUGCUGGGCUUUAACUGACGCUGAGGCACGAAAGUAUGGGGAGCAAACAGGAUUAGAUACCCUGGUA
This is a ribosomal RNA of 437 nucleotides. It matches the Rfam family "Bacterial small subunit ribosomal RNA", at positions 341 to 792 of the family's 1533-position model.